UACGUAGGGUGCAAGCGUUGUCCGGAAUUAUUGGGCGUAAAGAGCUCGUAGGCGGUCUGUCGCGUCGGCUGUGAAAACUCGGGGCUCAACUCCGAGCUUGCAGUCGAUACGGGCAGGCUAGAGUUCGGCAGGGGAGACUGGAAUUCCUGGUGUAGCGGUGAAAUGCGCAGAUAUCAGGAGGAACACCGGUGGCGAAGGCGGGUCUCUGGGCCGAUACUGACGCUGAGACGCGAAAGCGUGGGGAGCGAACCGG
This 253-nucleotide ribosomal RNA is filed under the name uncultured bacterium. RNAcentral describes it as "partial 16S ribosomal RNA". It matches the Rfam family "Bacterial small subunit ribosomal RNA", at positions 524 to 776 of the family's 1533-position model. The record is from RNAcentral.